GACGAACGCUGGCGGUGUGCUUAACACAUGCAAGUCGAACGGUGAAGCGCCUUCCUUUUUGGUGGGUGUGGAUGAGUGGCGAACGGGUGAGUAACACGUGAGUAACCUGCCCCCUUCUUCUGGAUAACCGCAUGAAAGUGUGGCUAAUACGGGAUAUUCUGGGUCUGUCGCAUGAUGGGUCUGGGAAAGAUAUUGUUUCGGUGGGGGAUGGGCUCGCGGCCUAUCAGCUUGUUGGUGGGGUGAUGGCCUACCAAGGCGGUGACGGGUAGCCGGCCUGAGAGGGUGGACGGUCACACUGGGACUGAGACACGGCCCAGACUCCUACGGGAGGCAGCAGUGGGGAAUAUUGCACAAUGGGCGCAAGCCUGAUGCAGCGACGCCGCGUGAGGGAUGGAGGCCUUCGGGUUGUGAACCUCUUUCGCCAGUGAAGCAGGCCUGCCUCGUUUGUGGGUGGGUUGACGGUAGCUGGAUAAGAAGCGCCGGCUAACUACGUG
This 494-nucleotide ribosomal RNA is filed under the name uncultured bacterium. RNAcentral describes it as "partial 16S ribosomal RNA". It matches the Rfam family "Bacterial small subunit ribosomal RNA", at positions 28 to 507 of the family's 1533-position model. The record is from RNAcentral.